This 389-nucleotide long non-coding RNA is filed under the name Fukomys damarensis (Damara mole-rat). RNAcentral describes it as "lncRNA (ENSFDAG00000030254.1)". Lineage: Eukaryota; Metazoa; Chordata; Mammalia; Rodentia; Bathyergidae. The record is from RNAcentral.
UAAAAACCAAACCCAUGAAGAUCAUCAAGUGUUUGGGGCCAUCCUUUUGUACCCAGAGUGACUUGGUUUCUCUCAUUCUGCCCCAGGACAAAUGCAUAAGCCACCUAUUCAACUGAACAAAAAUGAAGCUGAGAGCUCCAAGCCUGAAGAGGGCACUGUCUCCUGCAGGGCCUCACCCACAGCAUGCUAUUAAAAACCCCACUCUGCGUCACAGACACCCUUUGGUAAGGCAUCUCACACAGAAGUCUGUCUUCUGAUCCUUUACUCCAUGAGAAGCUUGUCCAUCUCCCAGGAAAAUCCUGUCCUAGAUCUAGAGCUUGUGUCUCUCCUUGAAGGUGAAUGGAGUAUGGCCUUCCCAUUCACAUGUUGAAGUUCUAACUCUCCAGGGC